This 387-nucleotide RNase P RNA is filed under the name Myxococcales bacterium. RNAcentral describes it as "RNase P RNA component class A". It matches the Rfam family "Bacterial RNase P class A". From Rfam's summary of the family: Ribonuclease P (RNase P) is a ubiquitous endoribonuclease, found in archaea, bacteria and eukarya as well as chloroplasts and mitochondria. Its best characterised activity is the generation of mature 5'-ends of tRNAs by cleaving the 5'-leader elements of precursor-tRNAs. Lineage: Bacteria; Pseudomonadati; Myxococcota; Myxococcia; Myxococcales. The record is from RNAcentral.
UCGUGGCGGCGAGGUGGUCGCCGGUGUCCGCGAGGCCACGGGAGGAAAGUCCGAGCUCCAAAGGGCGUGGUGCUGGCUAACGGCCAGUCGGGGAAACUCGAAGGAAAGUGCCACAGAAAGUAAACCGCCGAGGCCCGCCUCGGUAAGGGUGAAAGGGUGCGGUAAGAGCGCACCGGGGGGCGGGUGACCGUCCCCGUCAUGGUAAACCCCACCUGGAGCAAGACCGUUUCGGGGCGCCGAUCUUGAAUCGGCCCGGGCGACCCGUCCGGUAGCCCCGGGUCAGGUCGCUGAAGUGCCGGGGCAACUCGUCGCAUAGAUGAAUGACCACCCCCGCCGUCGGGUGACCGGCUGCGGAGACAGAACUCGGCUUACGGCCGUCUCGAACAG